GUUUAUUUUCUUUUUCUUCCGCCUUUCCCCAUUUCAUUCUCUGCAUCUCCGUUAGGAAAAAUAUUAUUUAUAUUUUUUGCUUCCAACUUUAGUUGAUCAUACUUUUAUACUUUCUAGAAUUGAGAUGUGAUUGAUGGCUCUAUUAUUUGAGCUGGGAGUAGUUCAAUUUAUAUCGUGAGAACUCUUAAACUUUGGGUUUAGUUAAAAUCGAAUACAGCCAGGUGCCUUUUUAAAAUUGAACUCAAAUUUGAGCAGUCGAUGUCCUUUUUUAAGCUGCAUCAUAUUAAACUAAUAAGUGCGUCCAGAACAGUUCAAAAUCUAAGCCUUUGUAGUAUUACCUUUGUUGGGAAAAACACCCCCCUUGGAUAGCCCAAAGAUCAAACAAAGUUGACAAUGUAAAAAUUUCCAAACCACUUCUAGAACAAGAAAAUGACGAAGAAAUGAUUUCAAUGGAAUAUAUGAAUAACAAUGUAUUUGGAUUACUUGAACAAGCCUUCAAAUUAAUCCCCAAGAAAGAAAAUAACUUUGAAUUUAUACCCAAGAUGAACAACCUUCAAUCUUCUCAGCUUCUCUUCUUCUCUUCUCUUCUCAGCUUCCCCUUCUCAGCUUCUCUUCUUCUCUUCUCUUCUCAGCUUCCCCUUCUCAGCUUCUCUUCUUCUCACAAUUCUCCACCUCGUACAUCAUUUGAUAGACCUCAAAUUUUGGACGAACACAAGAAGAAUAAGCAAGCACCAAAAAAAAAAUUCGGCUGCAUCAUUCAAACCAUGAUUACCUACGUACCCAAAACUCGGGAUCAAGCCUCUGUAGUUCACAUCCACGUUCAUAUACACUCCACCUCAUUUCAACCCCGCCCCAAAGGGCCAUGCCCUCUCGGGCAUAUCAACACGGACUAAUGUGAAGUAAGUCCAAGCAAUGUUGAAACUUGCUACCCGUUACCACUUUGGUUAACAUGUCAGCUGGGUUCUCAUUUGUGUGUACCUUCGAGAGUGAAAUAUCACCUUCCUCUAUGACAUCACGCACAAAAUGAUACCUGAUGUCGAUGUGCUUGGUUCGAGCAUGAUGAACCUGAUUCUUAGCUAAGUGAAUCGCACUCUGGCUAUCACACCACAAGUCCACACAAUCCUGCUCAAUCCCCAAAUCAUCUAGAAGACCCCACAACCACAAUGCUUCUUUCACUCCCUCUGCCAUGGCCAUAUACUCGGCCUCUGUAGUAGAAAGAGCAACUGUAGCCUGUAACAUCGAUCGCCAACUAACUGGGGCACCAUGUAUGCAAAACACAUAUCCAGUAGUAGACCGUCGUCUGUCUAGAUCACUAGCAUAAUCCGAGUCCACAAACCCACUUAUAUGACAUGCAUCUCCACCAAAACAUAAACCCGUAUCCGCGGUACCUUUUAAGUACCUCAGGAUCCACUUCACAGCUUCCCAGUGUGCCUUCCUCGGAUUCGCCAUGAAUCUACUGACCACACUCACCGCCUGUGAAAUAUCUGGGCGUGUACACACUAUGGCAUACAUUAAACUACCAACUGCACUAGCAUAAGGCACACGAUCCAUGUGUACCUUUUCUUCCGCUGUAGUAGGAGACUGUUAACCAGAGAGCCUGAAAUGUGGAGCCAAUGGAGUUAUCACUGACUUUGCACCUUGCAACCCGAACCUAGCAAUAACCCACUCAAUGUAGCCUUUCUGAUUCAAGAACAUUCGCCGGUUCAUCCUCUCUCUUCUAAUCUCCAUACCCAGUAUUUUCCUAGCAGCCCCCAUAUCCUUCAUCUCAAACUCUUUACCAAGUUGAGAUUUCAACUUAUCUAUCUCCACCUUGCUUUUCGAGGCGAUAAGCAUGUCGUCCACAUAGAAUAGAAGAUAGAUAUAGUUACCUCCCCGAAGUUUUCGAAUAUAAACACAACAGUCAUACUCACUUCUGGAGAAACCAUGCUUUAGCAUGAAGGAGUCAAAUCGCUUGUACCACUGCCGAGGAGAUUGCUUCAAUCCAUAUAAUGAUUUUCUCAAGCGACAUACCUGACGUUCCUUAUCCUCAACCUUGUAGCCCUCAGGUUGAUGCAUAUAUAUCUCCUCAUCCAAGUCCCCGUGCAAGAAGGCGGCUUUGACAUCGAGUUGUUCCAGCUCAAGAUCUUGAUGAGCAACAAUACUCAAUAGCACCCGAAUGGAAGUGUGCUUGACCACAGGAGAAAAGAUCUCAUUGUAGUCAACUCCCUCUCUUUGUGCAAACCCCUUAGCCACUAACCUUACUUUGAAUCUUGUACCACCGAGCUUGGUAGGAUCCUCCUUCUUUUUAUACAACCACUUGCAACCAAUAGCUUUCUUACCUAUGGGCAAUGGAACAACCUCCCAUGUUUGGUUCUUGUGAAGUGAUUCCAUCUCUUCUUCCAUUGCUGCCAACCAACUCUCGCUAUUGUUGUUUAAAAUAGCUUCCUUGAAAGUGGUAGGCUCAUCAUCCUUCACUGAGAGUGCAUACUCAACCAAAUUUAUCUACCCAUAGUGCUUCAAAGGCUCGUUUGACCCCAACAUUAGAACUUGCUUGUAAGUACGGCGUGGCCUAGAGGAAGCCAAGUUAUCUGCAAGCUGCUGUUGUUGCUGUGCCUGUACAUUCUCUUGCUGAAUCGCCUCUUGUUCAAGCUCAUCAUCAUUCUCAUCUUGAGUGUCUGUAUGAUGCUCCUCUUGAACAUGCCUAGGAUCAGGUUGAUCUCUAGGUUCUAUGUCAACAACUUGAGACAUAGUAGUCUCAACAUCAUCACCACCGAGCACUGUAGCUUUCAACGAAGCUACCAUGGAGUUCUCAUCAAAAGUAAUGUCUCUGCUGAUUAUAAACUUAGAAUCCUCUACACACGAAAGGCGAUAGCCUUUAACACCUGUCGCAUACACCAAGAAUAUAGCCUUCUUGGCUCUCGCAUCAAGCUUUCCCUCGUUCACAUGAUAGUAGGUUGUCCAUCCGAAUGUUCUGAGUUUCUCAUAAUCUGCAUGUUCUCCUGUCAAUACCCUAUAAGGUACAUCUCCAUCUAACCUUGAAUGUGGAGACCGAUUCACUAUGUAGCAAGCAUUUGCAACCGACUUUGCCCACCAUUCUCUGCCCAAACCAGCAUAGGAUCGCAUACACAUCGAUUUCUCUCGAAAUGUGUGGUUCAGUCUUUCCGCGACCCCAUUCUGUUGCGAUAUAUUUCUUACUGUCCAGUUUCUCACAAUGCCUUCCUUACCACAGAACUCCUUGAAAGCACCAUCUGUAUACUCAGUACCAUUAUCAGAUUUCAGUGUCUUCAAUUUCUUUCCUGUUCUGUUUUCAACCAUUACUUUCCACUUCUUGAAAGUGUCGAAUACCUCAUUCUUAUGCUUCAAAAAAUAAAUCCAAGCAUAUCUAGAAUAAUCAUCAACAAAUGUAACAAAAUACCUGGAACCGCCUUUGGAAGUGACAGAAGUCGGACCCCAUACAUCCAUGUGCAUUUCUCUAUCUCAUACUUCCCAAUCUUCACCAUUCCUCUAGUAGACAUGAUUUAUCCACUUUGGCUGGAACUGAACUCGGUGUGCUUUACCGUACUCGCAAUGUCCAUGCAAGGCUUCUUCAAGUUCUUUAGCAAACCUUUCUUGACUAGCAAAUCUAGCCCCUUUUCAGACAUAUGCCCAAGCCUCCUAUGCCAUAGCCGAGUGCACUCACAUGGGUCUCCACCACUUCCACUCGUUCCAACUGCUACAUCUUCAGUAACUGUAGUACCCUGAAGAGGAUAGAGAUUGCCUUCACGAAUACCCUUCAUCACAAUCAAAGAACCACGAACAACCUUCUUUACUCCAUUCCAUGUUACAAUCUUGCAACCAUCGGAGUCUAAGGCACCAACAGAGAUAAGGUUCUUUCGCAAAUCAGGAACAUGUCUAACAUCCACCAAUGGUCUAACCACUCCAUCAUGCAUCUUGAUUCUAAUUGAACCAAGCCCCACCGUUUUACAUGAAUGGUUAUUACCCAUCAACACGGUUCCACCAUCAGUGCUUCUAUAGGUAGUAAACCACUUCCUAUUUGGACACAUAUGGUAAGAGCAUCUAGAGUCAAGAAUUCACUUGCCGGAGGUUUCUUCAUCACAAGAGAUGGUGUAGCACUCAUCGCUUUCCCCUCCUUCCGAGGCAUAGCUUACCUCUUGCUUGACUUGCACCUUUCCGUUGUUGUUGUUCUUAUUGUUCUUCUUCCAACCCUUUUUGUUAGGACAAUUCGCCUUGAAAUGCCCAAGCUCGCCGCAUUUGAAACAAAACCUUUCCGCAAGAGGUCUAGAACUCGAUCUAGAUUUUUCUCCCUUGCCCUUUGGUCGCACAUUGCUUCUACCCCUUACAAAUAAUCCUUGAGCUUGCUCCUUGUUACCAAUGGUAGACAUGCCACUAGUUGCAAUCUUUCGAAGAUCAUUCGCUAGAAGUGACGUUCUAGUGUCCUCCAUCACAAGUUUAUCACCCACAAGCAUUAAUGUUUGUACUAGGUUCUCGUAAGACUUUGGCAAUGAAAGAAGUAGUAGAAGUGCUUGAUCCUCAUCAUCUACAUCCACAUCAAUGUCCUUCAAGUCCGAUAUGAUCCUAUCAAACUUGUUGAUGUACUCCCGGAUUGGUGUACCUUCAUCCAUUUUGCAAGUAUACAAUUUGGACUUCAAAUAGAUCCGAUUUGUUAGAGUCUUCAUCAUGAAGUUCGCCUCCAACUUUGUCCACACCUCCACCGCUGUUACCUCACUAUCAACCAAGAAAGCAACAUCUCUUUCAAGGCAAAGAAUGAUAGACGCUUGUGCCUCAAGAUCUAGCUCUUCCCAAUCCUCGUCCGACAUAUCAACGUGCUUCUUCUCCUUUCCCGCCAAUGCCUUGUGCAACUUUUGAGAAAUCAACAAAUUUUUCAUUUGUAUUCUCCAAUAUGAAAAAUCAUUCUUCCCAUUGCAUUUCUCUAUCUCAUACUUCCCAAUCUUCACCAUUCCUCUAGUAGACAUGAUUUAUCCACUUGUUUACCGAAAAUAAAUCACCAAAGUUCACUUGAAAAUUUUCACAAACACCUUGUGCACAACAAAGUUCAAGCAACUCACCACAAAAUCGAAGCUUAACCACCUUGAUUUCGGAAGAAGCUCUGAUACCAAAUUGUUGGGAAAAACACCUCCCUUGGAUAGCCCAAAGAUCAAACAAAGUUGACAAUGUGAAAAUUUUCAAACCACUUCUAGAACAAGAAAAUGAGGAAGAAAUGAUUUCAAUGAAAUAUAUGAAUAACAAUGUAUUUGGAUUACUUGAACAAGCCUUCAAGUUAAUCCCCAAGAAAGAAAAUAACUUUGAAUUUAUACCCAAGAUAAACAACCUUCAAUCUUGUAAAAUUCUCUCCAAAUUUUCUCUCUUUUCCUCUCUUAUUUUCGGGUGCAAGGGUUGUGACUUAAUGAAAGAGGGAAAAAAAAUUGGCAAUAUAUAUACCUAUCGGAGCGCCUAGGCGCCAUGUUUCUGUCUGGAAACUUACUUGGGGCGCCUAGGCGCCUGGACAUGGCGCCUAGGUGCCCAGUUUCUGCUUCGACAGAAACUGGGCAGCACCUAGGCGCCUACUCCAGCACCUAGGCGCUGCUUGCUCCUUCUCAGCUUCUCUUCUUCUCUUCUCUCCUCUUCUCAGCGUCCCCUUCUCAGCUUCUCUUCUUCUCACAACCUUGUUCUAGUUCCCCUCUCCUCAUCUACUACAUCGAUUUUCCUGUGUUGAUACUGAACACCAGAACAAGUUUUAUAUGAUGGCAUAUUUGGUAGAUUUUGCAUGGCUGGUGUUUUGGUGAAUAUUCAUGAAUGACUUUCAUUUUCGACACUUGCAUUUAGGGAGACGGUCCUUUUUCCAAACUUGCGUUUGUAUUUUGGAUACAAUUGUUUUUCAGCUAGAUUUCUCCAGUGAGUUAACUGGCCGUGAUCAAAGCUAUAGCUUGGUUUUCUGAUGAUUCAUUAAUGUAUUUCCACACUGAGUAUGAUUUUUUGCAAGCUGAUAUUGGUUGAGAAGAGGCCAACUGGCAACUAAAUCUAUUGUCGUCGUGAAUGGUGAUAAAUCCACCCCAUGACAAUUAAUCUGCUAGGCCUUUGUUAUUGAGAAUCUUCACCUGUGAAAAGGUGAAAUUCCCUCCAAAUCAUUUAUUAUACAAUAUCAAAGGGCAUCAUAAACUUGACAUUAAGUUAGCAAUUGGAAACAAGCUGCUCCAUUAAUAUCGUCUGCAUACAGUAAUUUUAAUGCCAUCUUUCGAUAUAAUCUUUGAAAUCGAUGCUUAUGUCGCAAUUCAUUUCAUGCAUAAAUAGUCAUGCUAGAAAUUUCUCACACAUCACGUAUCUCUUGAUUAUCUGAUUGUUGCAAAACGAAAUAUCCAGAAAAUAUAAUAGCUCUCAUUCUUGGUC
RNAcentral lists this long non-coding RNA (6363 nucleotides) under Olea europaea (common olive). RNAcentral's name for it is "long non-coding RNA (OEUR_LNC000469)". Lineage: Eukaryota; Viridiplantae; Streptophyta; Magnoliopsida; Lamiales; Oleaceae. The record is from RNAcentral.